Armigeres subalbatus is the source of this 4011-nucleotide long non-coding RNA. RefSeq lists it as uncharacterized. The transcript has 3 exons. Lineage: Eukaryota; Metazoa; Arthropoda; Insecta; Diptera; Culicidae. The record is from RefSeq and is a predicted model, not a curated record.
UCUCACAUAGACAGUCUUCAUUCAGUAUGGUGUUCACCCCGUCCUGCAACAGGGUGGCACCACUUGUCUACCAAGCCGGAGGCGACCCUAGGUUGGUGGCUCCUAUGCCGCUCCUACCUCAGCUACGAGGCAGACCCUUUCAUGUCUCCUAUUUCUGAGGUGCCGCAGAAGCAUCAACUCCCCGACACUCCUGCCAGUCAUAGCGAGACUUCCUUUCCCCUACUUCUGAGGUGCCGCAGAGGUAUCUGCCCCCCGACACUCCUGCCAGGCCUAGCAAGACUUCACUCAAUCCGUCCCUGGCAUCCGGAUCACACUACUGCCUAAGCAGCCACUCUGACCAUACGUACCAUGCGAGUCUGACUUGUGUGCUCGCUCAUACAUUCAGUCCCAAUCGCUUGCACCACUUGUGCACCACACUCUUGGCAUUCAUUCUCUCACUCAGUGGGGGUUGUAAUACCCCGAUCUCCCAUUUAUAUCCACUACUAGUCGACCCGGCAGACGUUGUCCUGCAUAGUAGGCGAAAAAGCGCGUUGUGAACUGCCCAUGCGAAAUUUCCAUACAAAUCUUUAUUUUAAUUUUUCACGAUUUACUCAACCCUACUCAUGAUUUUCGCCUAAGGAAAUAUCAUAUAAACCCGUCGGAAACGAUAACGAACAUUUUUGCUGAAGAAAUGAAGAAAAUCCAUCGAGCCGUUUUCGAGUUAUGCGGAUACGAACACAGACCAUUUCAUUUUUAUUAUAUAGAUGUGCACCUCCUGUGCAUCGUUUGGGCGUGGAACACCCGGCACGUCACGCGUGCCUUACACUCACCUACCCGGGCUUUGAUGCUGCCAAUAGGUCUUGGACAGAUGCUUUGGUGCAGGCAGCGCCCACCUAUUGAUAUUUCGAAGCCCAGAUAGUCCUCAGUCAGUGUGGUGGUCUCCCCAUCCUGCAACGAGGUGGCACCACUUACCUUACAUGUCUCCAAUUUUUGAGGUGCCGCAGAAGCAUCAACCCCCGACACUCCUGCCAGUCGUAGCGAGACUUUCGUGUCCCCUACUUCUGAGGUGCCGCAGAGGUAUCUGCCCCCCGACACUCCUGCCAGGCCUAACCAGACUUCAGUCAUUCUAACACUACCGACCAUGCGUACCAUGCGAGUCUUACUUGUGUGCUCACCCAUACACUCAGUCCUUCACUCUGUGGGGGUAUUACGAGUAAUACCCCCAACUCCCAUUCGUUUGCACCACAUGUGCACAACUUGGGGGUGUGUGGGUACCACCCACUGCCACCCGCUUGCCGCCGAAGCAGCCCUCAUUCUGUGGAACCUCCAUAGGCUCCGUUAACGACCUGGCUAAUUGUUUCACCCCCCAGGUCAUUCAUCCCCUCGGAACGGGUCGCCUGACACCUUGGGAUUCGGGGUUAGGGACGCCAUAUUGUCAGCUUCAGUGUUGUACUGAGCCUGACGAUAUGGCCGGAUUUACACCGUUACGCACUACUUCCAAGUAUCCAUAUCCCAACGUAACGGGGAGCUUCCUCAGCAUGUAGUAUGAAGCAAAUGUAAAUAAACAAUCCCACAAAAUUUUUGUUGGUCAACAGUAGUAAAGAUUAACUAACAUCCUACAAGAUUCCAAUUCGAACAAUGUUACACUUGUCAAGCGGGGUGAUAUAUGUAUGCAUUAUUUACAUUUUAUUAUGCUAUAAGCCAUUUUACGAGACAGAUUCGAACAGCUGAUCGAAAUUUUGAGUGGACGGCUCGGUCUUUGUUUUGGUAAAUUUGCAUGCAAACCAUCAUCAAUUCGCCAUCAUCAUCAUCAUUUCAUUCCAUUUUCGCAAAUGUUCCUUGUAAAAUGUAAAUAUUAGUGUUAGAUCUCCUGUCACUUGAGCUUUUUAUAAAAUAGCUUAUAUGCAUUAUUUCCAGUGAAAACUAGAUGUACAAACACUGAUGUCAAGAUGCUCUAUAUCAAGUGAUAUAGCUCAUAAUCUGAACGUACUAUUAAGGGGGUUAUCAUCGACCAAUACAUAGACGGAAUGGUGCCCAGUUUUCCGAGCACCACUCAGUACCCCUGGGGAGUGACCGAUUACAAUUAUUAUAAUAACCUGACCGUUGAGAAGCCCCUCAAUUCGAAUUGCGUCAGUUUGACAACAAUAGACCAAUGCAAACUCUAACUUAACCUCACUUAUUUUGACAGUUUACAGAGCUUGUUUACAAGGUGUUAGAAGAAAAAUCGAUGAAGGGAAAAUUAAAAUUCAUAUUUUUAGUUUAAAAUUGCUGUGAUCCGAAUAUUUUAGUGUUAUUCUUUGCAUUCAGCAUGAAAUCAAUCGCAAUGGACAUCUACAUGCGAAUAAAAUGACGAAACAAUUUUAUCAGAAGCUGCGCCGGAGGCUAAGUCCCGGAGAAAAAGCUCUGUGAACUGUCAACCUACGUCAUCAUGCACUGGUUUAUUGUCAGUUAUGCUCAUUUAUUUAUUUUCUUACCUUUGUUUUGUUAAUCGCGCUCAAAAUUUUUGUGCGAAAGCGUUGUUAGUUAAAGAUACAUAUAUAAAUAGGUUUCUUUUGGUUGGAUAGGUUUCCAUGAAUGGAAACAUUGAUUCGGAUUUGAUAUGCCAGCGGUUAAUGGCAAUGCAGAUUCCACAAGAUAAUUACUUUACGAUGAGAAUUUCAUACAAGUUUACCGUGCUGCCACUGGCGCUGCAGAUUACUCAGAUUGCGGAAAACCUGAUGAACCGAACUUUACCCGGGUGUUGGACCGAGAAAAACGAAUUCUUCCUGCAUGCAUUUACCGAAAAGGACUACAUCGCGCCGGAUAAGGCUCUCAGAGCUGGAACAGAUUUUAAUCAAGAGAAACCGGAAGCGGCUGCUGAUCGCAGCAAACCUGAAAAUAAGGCGGCAUACUCUGGCGGCCUUGUGUUGAAAACGAUAAAAGGAUUGUACGGCAAAUUUAUCCUGCAAAUGGAUCACAGCUCCCUUUACCCCAUAUCAUCCGGUCCGGGAGUACCACAUUUCAUUCACUACGGUGCUAUCGCCGACGACCGAUGCAGUAGAUGGUGAGAACGCCACCAAUCAGAUCCUCCAAACAAGCCCUGGAAUAUUGCCCUGUCAAAUUCUCAAACUCGACGAGAGCAGAAAGUCAGCGAAACAACUAAUGAAAGCACCUGGUCUGUCACCGGAACUUAACAUGCAGUGCAACAUUUACCAGAUGGCGCUCAAGCUUCCGGCUUCCGGUUGGCGCUACACUAGAUCCUGAUUCUAUGCUCAGCACAUGGCCGCUCUGACCACACUAAAAAGUCGGGAAAUUCUUAUGGAUACCAAAAGCAGGAACUAAUUACUAAUUAUUAGUUCCUGCCAAAAGCAUCGUGGAAAAACUGAAUUACCAGCUUAUCUAUGGCAACACGAUCAACACCAACAGCAUCGAUUGUGACGAGCUGUUCAAGAUCGAUGCUAACAACAAGCACAUCGUCAAUAAAACAUUCAAAUGCUUGGAUCUGAACGUACUACAAGUAGAAAAAGAAGUACCUACGCGGCUGUUUCGAUAGCCAAGAUCUGGGAAAAAUUCGAAUGCACGCAUGCAUGACUUGCAUAACUGCAGUUAUAGAACGUCUAUGUAGUGGUAGAGACUUGGAAAAAUCAUUAUCAGCAGAUUUGUGUUUUUAUAACAGCGAUCGUGUAAAGACUUUCUAGGUUAGGUUUUAUAAUCAAUGGCUAAGAAGGGCCCCUAGUAGAAUCCAUGUUUGAGACGAAUAUUUGCUCGACUGGGAAUACUGUCGUCCGGUCAAAUUACUGCUACAUAUCGCCAUCGACGAACUGGACUUACUGUUAAUGAGCAAGCGCAACAUCUACACUGCUCGCCUCACUAUUCCAACCAGUUCUCAGCAUUGGGGCCCUUUUCAAUGCACUGGACAAUAUAUGCGGAUUUGAGACGCGGGCACUUGGAGACCGCUGUUCCAUUUUGGCUGUCGUACAACUGACACAAAUUCUUAUUUGAGCUACAACACUAUUUUUACCAAUAACAUAAUAUAUACAUAUUAUAAAUAAA